AUGCGGCUCUGCAGGACCUGCGCUCUCCUGGCGCUUCUGUUUCUGGCAGUCUUGGAUUCAUCAGAAUCCCAGCAGGAGGUCGUUCGACCAGACAAAGGCUUGAAUGUGAUCGUGUCCACCGAGCAGCCAAAAUGUUCUGUGUGUAUCGUCAGCAAGGUGAACAGCACACAGUCUUCCUGCAACUCUUCUCUCUCUCUGGUACCUGAAGUUGAGACCACACUGGAGUUUUCCUGCCCCCAGCCUGUCGAGCAGUCUUACACUGUGACGAUUGCUCGCUCCAUCGAAUGCACUGAGAAUGCCUGCAGCCCGCCAACUCUGCAAACUCAACCAUCCAUCCUGACUAACUUUGCCAGAAUCUUCACCUGGGAUCUGAAUGCAGCUCAGGACACAGUCGUGCGCCUGAGCAUCAUCGAAGGAGGACUGACGGACACAUUACAGCCAUGCUCAGAUGGCUAUCAGUUCUCUGUGUCCACAUCCAUAGCCAGCAGCAAGGCCCAGACUCAGUACUGUCGAGGCGGUUCUGUGAAAAGUUUGUAUCUGAUCAAUCCAGCUGUCGUGUCUCUGCAAGUGAAACCAAAAGCUCAGGUGGUCAGUGAGCUGUUUCAGAUCUCCGUCACACAACCGAAAACUGAGGUCAUAAGCGUUGAUUCCAGCACGACCAUGGUCCUCAGCCGGGACCCGAAGGAAUCGGUGUGUGAAGUGUGCACCGCUGAAGGCCCCACUCUCACCUGCAGCACGGAAAAGACGCUGAACAAUGUUGACAAACUUUCAGUGGUGUUCAGCUGCCUGAAACCUCAAGAUGGGUUCAAUGUGAAGAUAAAAAAGACAAUAGAAUGCACCAAGACUUCCUGCACACCUUCUGCAGCAGAAAUUGUUCCCGAUCAACUUAAUGCCUUCAAAAGAUCCUUGACGUGGGGCAUCAGUGUCCCAGAGAGCACUGUAUUAACUCUGGACUUUCCUGGUGGUUUGAAGGACAUCUCUUCAGGGGGGACCUGCCCAGAUGCCUAUCAGUACUCAGUGAAUACAACUAAAAGCAAUGGCGAAAUUCAAAGUAACAACUACUGCAAAGGUGGGACAGUGUCUGAUCUGAAUCUGCUUGGAGCAACGACUGUGACUAUCGAAGUGCCCAAAGGAGAAAAACUGGAGUCGGCAGCAUUUAAUGUCAAAGCCACAGAGAGAGGCAAGUUUGAACACUUUCUAGAACCCGUAGAGGAAGAUGUUUUAUUCAUUUUAUAUAAAGAAAAAACAUCAUAGCACAUAUUUAUGGAGACAUAUCCUUAACAAUGGCUGAUAAAUCCUUUUAAAUGGUAAUGAUUCAAUAAUUGCCUCUUUAUACAGUUGCAGCUAAGGACCUAUAACUCAAAUGUAGUUACUUUAAUCUGUAUAUAUUUGACCUGGACAUUGAUUAAUAGGGAAAACAAAGCUAAGCUUUGUUUCUUGUCCCCAGCCAAAUGUUAAAAAGUUAUACCAAAAUAAAUUAUAUGCUAUAUCUGAUCAAAUUUUGU
RNAcentral lists this long non-coding RNA (1505 nucleotides) under Oreochromis niloticus (Nile tilapia). RNAcentral's name for it is "lncRNA (ENSONIG00000033635.1)". Lineage: Eukaryota; Metazoa; Chordata; Actinopteri; Cichliformes; Cichlidae. The record is from RNAcentral.